GACGAACGCUGGCGGCGUGCUUAACACAUGCAAGUCGAACGGAAAGGCCCUGCUUUUGUGGGGUGCUCGAGUUGCGAACUGGUGAGUAACACUUGAGUAACCUGCCCUUGACUUUGGGAUAACUUCAUGCAACUGGGGCUCAUCCCGGAUAGGAGCUCCUGCUUCUUGGUGGGGGUUGGAAAGUUUCGGCGGUUGGGGAUGGACUCGCGGCUUAUCAGCUUGUUGGUGGGGUAGUGGCUUACCAAGGCUUUGACGGGUAGCCGGCCUGAGAGGGUGACCGGACAAAUUGGGAAUGAGAUACGGCCCAGACUACUACGGGAGGCAGCAGUGGGGAAUAUUGCACAAUGGGCGGAAGCAUGAUGCAGCAACGCAGCGUGGGGGAUGACGGCAUUCGGGUUGUAAACCGAUGUCGCCUGUGACGAAGCGUGAGUGACGGUAAUGGGUAAAGAAGCACCGGCUAACUACGUG
RNAcentral lists this ribosomal RNA (468 nucleotides) under uncultured bacterium. RNAcentral's name for it is "partial 16S ribosomal RNA". It matches the Rfam family "Bacterial small subunit ribosomal RNA", at positions 28 to 507 of the family's 1533-position model. The record is from RNAcentral.